AUUUAGGUAGUUUAAUUAAAAUUUUGGUUUGUGGUACCAGUGAUGUAUAAUUUAUUAUACCUUAGAUC
RNAcentral lists this transfer RNA (68 nucleotides) under Anax imperator (emperor dragonfly). Its description in RNAcentral is "tRNA-His". The record is from RNAcentral. Lineage: Eukaryota; Metazoa; Arthropoda; Insecta; Odonata; Aeshnidae. RNAcentral also lists the same sequence under 1 other name.